AUUGAACGCUGGCGGCAUGCUUUACACAUGCAAGUCGAACGGUAACAGGCCGCAAGGUGCUGACGAGUGGCGAACGGGUGAGUAAUGCAUCGGAACGUGCCCAGUCGUGGGGGAUAACUAUCCGAAAGGAUAGCUAUACCGCAUACGAUCUGCGGAUGAAAGCGGGGGACCUUCGGGCCUCGCGCGAUUGGAGCGGCCGAUGUCAGAUUAGGUAGUUGGUGGGGUAAAGGCUCACCAAGCCAACGAUCUGUAGCUGGUCUGAGAGGACGACCAGCCACACUGGGACUGAGACACGGGCCAGACUCCUACGGGAGGCAGCAGUGGGGAAUUUUGGACAAUGGGCGCAAGCCUGAUCCAGCAAUGCCGCGUGCAGGAAGAAGGCCUUCGGGUUGUAAAUUGCUUUUGUACGGAACGAAACGGCUCUGGUUAAUACCUGGGGCUAAUGACGGUACCGUAAGAAUAAGCACCGGCUAACUACGUGCCAGCCGCCGCGGUAA
This 497-nucleotide ribosomal RNA is filed under the name uncultured bacterium. Its description in RNAcentral is "partial 16S ribosomal RNA". It matches the Rfam family "Bacterial small subunit ribosomal RNA", at positions 30 to 523 of the family's 1533-position model. The record is from RNAcentral.